CAGUCGCCGCGGGAAUAUGUAGGGUGCGAGCGUUAAUCGGAAUUACUGGGCGUAAAGCGUGCGCAGGCGGCUUUGUAAGACAGGCGUGAAAUCCCCGGGCUCAACCUGGGAAUGGCGCUUGUGACUGCAAAGCUAGAGUGCGGCAGAGGGGGAUGGAAUUCCGCGUGUAGCAGUGAAAUGCGUAGAUAUGCGGAGGAACACCGAUGGCGAAGGCAGCCCCCUGGGCCAAUACUGACGCUCAUGCACGAAAGCGUGGGGAGCAAACAGGAUUAGAUACCCGGGUAGUCCCUGUCUCUUAUAC
This 301-nucleotide ribosomal RNA is filed under the name uncultured bacterium. RNAcentral describes it as "partial 16S ribosomal RNA". It matches the Rfam family "Bacterial small subunit ribosomal RNA", at positions 509 to 807 of the family's 1533-position model. The record is from RNAcentral.